UAUCUUUGCACGCUGAUUGCGCGUCCUUCGAGAGACGGAGGAACUGACAAUCAAUACAUAAAAAUCAUUUAAAUAAUAUUGGAAUG
Molecule: non-coding RNA, 86 nt
Filed under: unclassified sequences
Description: S15-Flavobacteria ribosomal protein leader
Rfam family: S15-Flavobacteria ribosomal protein leader
Source: RNAcentral